Molecule: ribosomal RNA, 253 nt
Filed under: uncultured bacterium
Lineage: Bacteria
Description: partial 16S ribosomal RNA
Rfam family: Bacterial small subunit ribosomal RNA
Source: RNAcentral
UACGAAGGGGGCUAGCGUUGCUCGGAAUGACUGGGCGUAAAGGGCGCGUAGGCGGAUGGUACAGUCAGAUGUGAAAUUCCCGGGCUUAACCUGGGGGCUGCAUUUGAUACGUGCGAUCUGGAGUGAGGAAGAGGGUCGUGGAAUUCCCAGUGUAGAGGUGAAAUUCGUAGAUAUUGGGAAGAACACCGGUGGCGAAGGCGGCUCACUGGCUCGUAACUGACGCUCAUGCACGACAGCGUGGGGAUCAAACAGG